RNAcentral lists this ribosomal RNA (301 nucleotides) under uncultured bacterium. RNAcentral describes it as "partial 16S ribosomal RNA". It matches the Rfam family "Bacterial small subunit ribosomal RNA", at positions 509 to 807 of the family's 1533-position model. The record is from RNAcentral.
CAGUAGCCGCGGUAAAACGGAGGGGGCUAGCGUUGUUCGGAAUUACUGGGCGUAAAGCGCACGUAGGCGGCUUUGUAAGUUAGAGGUGAAAGCCUGGAGCUCAACUCCAGAAUUGCCUUUAAGACUGCAUCGCUUGAACGUCGGAGAGGUGAGUGGAAUUCCGAGUGUAGAGGUGAAAUUCGUAGAUAUUCGGAAGAACACCAGUGGCGAAGGCGGCUCACUGGACGACUGUUGACGCUGAGGUGCGAAAGCGUGGGGAGCAAACAGGAUUAGAUACCCGAGUAGUCCCUGUCUCUUAUAC